RNAcentral lists this ribosomal RNA (839 nucleotides) under Acidovorax sp. RNAcentral describes it as "bacterial SSU rRNA". It matches the Rfam family "Bacterial small subunit ribosomal RNA", at positions 44 to 881 of the family's 1533-position model. Lineage: Bacteria; Pseudomonadati; Pseudomonadota; Betaproteobacteria; Burkholderiales; Comamonadaceae. The record is from RNAcentral.
AUGCCUUACACAUGCAAGUCGAACGGUAACUGGUCUUCUGAUGCUGACGAGUGGCGAACGGGUGAGUAAUACAUCGGAACGUGCCCGAGAGUGGGGGAUAACGAAGCGAAAGCUUUGCUAAUACCGCAUACGAUCUCAGGAUGAAAGCAGGGGACCGCAAGGCCUUGCGCUCACGGAGCGGCCGAUGGCAGAUUAGGUAGUUGGUGGGAUAAAAGCUUACCAGGCCGACUAUCUGUACCUGGUCUGAGAGGACGACCAGCCACACUGGGACUGAGGCUCGGCCCAGACUCCUACGGGAGGCGGCAGUGGGGAAUUUUGGACAAUGGGCGCAAGCCUGAUCCAGCCAUGCCGCGUGCAGGAUGAAGGCCUUCGGGUUGUAAACUGCUUUUGUUCGGAAGGAAAAGACUCUUUUUAAUAAAGGGGGUCCAUGACGGUACCGUAAGAAUAAGCACCGGCUAACUACGUGCCAGCAGCCGCGGUAAUACGUAGGGGGCGAGCGUUAAUCGGAAUUACUGGGCGUAAAGCGUGCGCAGGCGGUGAUGUAAGUCAGAUGUGAAAUCCCCGGGCUCAACCUGGGAACUGCAUUUGAGACUGCAUCUCUGGAGUGCGGCAGAGGGGGAUGGAAUUCCGCGUGUAGCAGUGAAAUUCGUAGAUAUUCGGAGGAACACCGAUGGCGAAGGCAAUCCCCUGGGCCUGCACUGACGCUCAUGCACGAAAGCGUGGGGAGCAAACAGGAUUAGAUACCCUGGUAGUCCACGCCCUAAACGAUGUCAACUGGUUGUUGGGUCUUCACUGACUCAGUAACGAAGCUAACGCGUGAAGCUGUCCGCCUGGGGAGU